This 349-nucleotide long non-coding RNA is filed under the name Gallus gallus (chicken). Lineage: Eukaryota; Metazoa; Chordata; Aves; Galliformes; Phasianidae. The record is from RNAcentral.
GGGUUGAGCAGCACCAGGGUCUCCAGCACAUCACCGCGGUGAUGCAGGGUCCGCUGACCUUUGACAAUGCUGGAGAAGGUGGCCGAGUGUCGGGAGACGAAGAGCUUCAGCUGCUCAUCCAGGUUGCAGGAGGUCAGGUCGAUGUCCCAGGAGCGGAUGCCUCGCUCCAGCUGCUGCAGCGCGGCCGCCAGCAGCCCGGGCCGGUGGCAGCCGCCGCCCACGAUCGCCAGCAGCGAGAAGCGGCGCGGCCCCGCGGCGGGACCGGGAGGAGCCGCCGCCACCGCCGCCGCCAUCUUCGGCGCCCCCCGCAGCCGCGCCGCCCCCAGGCCACGCCCCCUCAGCGUCAGCG